Molecule: long non-coding RNA, 287 nt
Filed under: Mytilus galloprovincialis (Mediterranean mussel)
Lineage: Eukaryota; Metazoa; Mollusca; Bivalvia; Mytilida; Mytilidae
Source: RNAcentral
UCUGACAAUAAACACAUUGUUUAAUGUGCAUGCACAUGAUUUUGUUUUCUCCAGUUUCAAAGAACAUUAUUAUGUUUUCUCCUGUCUUAAAGUAUUAUUUGAAACAAAUGUCGGGUGUUCUUGCUAAUCUAUAAACGAAAGACUACACAAAAUUGCCAUCAUGAGGGUCGUACACACAGAACCAGUUUUAAAGGAAGUUCCAGAAUUAAGAUUACAAUAAUCAUCAUAACAUGUGGUCUUCACAACGUCGGCUCCACCAGUUGAGCAGCCCCUUAUGACGUCUGAAA